GACGAACGCUGGCGGCGUGCUUAACACAUGCAAGUCGAACGGAAAGGCCCUGCUUUUGUGGGGUGCUCGAGUGGCGAACGCGUGAGUAACACGUGAGUAACCUGCCCUUGACUUUGGGAUAACUCCAGGAAACUGGGGUUAAUACCGGAUAGGAGCUCUUGCUGCAUGGUGGGGGUGGGAAAGUUGCGGCGGUGCGGGGUGGACUCGCGGCUUAUCAGUUUGUUGGUGGGGUAGUGGCUUACCAAGGCUUUGACGGGUAGCCGGCCUGAGAGGGUGACCGGCCACAUUGGGACUGAGAUAGGGCCCAGAGUCCUACGGGAGGCAGCAGUGGGGAAUAUUGCGCAAUGGGCGGAGGCCUGAUGCAGCAACGCCGCGUGCGGGAUGACGGCCUUCGGGUUGUAAACCGCUUUCGCCUGUGACGAAGCGUGAGUGACGGUAAUGGGUAAAGAAGCACCGGCUAACUACGUG
RNAcentral lists this ribosomal RNA (468 nucleotides) under uncultured bacterium. RNAcentral describes it as "partial 16S ribosomal RNA". It matches the Rfam family "Bacterial small subunit ribosomal RNA", at positions 28 to 507 of the family's 1533-position model. The record is from RNAcentral.